AGGAUAAACGCUGGCGGCGUGCCUAACACAUGCAAGUCGAACGCGCUUACUAUCCGCGAGGAGGGUGAGCGAGUGGCGGACGGGUGAGGAACACGUGGGUGACCUACCUUUCAGUGAGGGAUACCGGCGAGAAAUUGCCGACAAGACCGCAUACGCUUCUCUUUUCAAGGGGGAGAAGGAAAGCUUUUCGCAAGAGAGGCGCUGGGAGAUGGGCCUGCGGCCGAUUAGCUAGCUGGUGGGGUAAUGGCCUACCAGGGCGACGAUCGGUAGCUGGUCUGAGAGGACGAUCAGCCACACUGGGAUUGAGAACGGCCCAGACUCCUACGGGGGGCAGCAGUGAGGAAUUUUCGGCAAUGGGGGCAACCCUGACCGAGCAACGCCGCGUGCAGGACGACGGCCUUCGGGUUGUAAACUGCUUUUCUCUGGGACGAGCAAGGACGGUACCAGAGGAAGAAGCCCGGCUAACUACGCGCCAGCAGCCGCGGU
This 486-nucleotide ribosomal RNA is filed under the name uncultured bacterium. Its description in RNAcentral is "SSU rRNA". It matches the Rfam family "Bacterial small subunit ribosomal RNA", at positions 26 to 521 of the family's 1533-position model. The record is from RNAcentral.